GUGUGUUACUUCGCAACCGGACAAUGAAGAUAGGCUAUAGCCUAAAUUAGAAGCAUAUUAGCUCAUAAUUCAUCAGCUCAAUGUUAGUCUUAAUACUCCAGUCAUUUUACACAGCGAAAGAAAAAAAAAAAGUUAAUCAGAUUACGAAAUCAUAGGUAGCCUAAAGAGGAGAGAGACACCAUCAAUGGGCAUCAACAUUUGCGUGCCAGAGUAAAGCGUUUCAAUUCACAUACACUUAACUGUCAUGAAUUCAUAAUAAAAUAAAAAAGUUGUAUUUGUUAUGUUCACUAUGUAGUCCUUGUGAAUGAUGAUCGUGUGUUAAUUUUGACUCACCUACUGGAGCCACCGGACCUGCCCUCCUGUUUCUGAAUUGAGAAAGUCUCGUUCUCUAUAUUUAAGUGAUAAUGCCCUCAAAGCCGGUGUUUGGAGGAUAUAUUGCUGUUUUGGUUAGGUCAACGAUCUGUGGUUAGCUUGGUGAAAUGAAAAUUAGCAUUAGCUCAAUGUUUGUUUACUGUUACUUUUUCUACAUAGUGACAUGCUAGCUAGCGUCAGCCCACCAGGAAAGUGAUAUUUAGCUAGCUAGUUAACGUUAACUCACCGUUUGUGUAGUCAGACUUGCUAGCUAAUGUUAGGCUGUUACUAUAGCAAGGAUAGUUGAUUCGCUAGCAUAUCACCACUUUUAAAAAAAGUCUUGACUACACAAACAGUGAGUCAAUGUUAACUAGCUAGCUCGGUAAACAUUGCCUGGUGGGUUAGCUAGUCGGGUACCUUGCUUGGCUAGUUAGCUACAUUAGCUAAAGUAGACUUGAUAGCUCACAAUGGACUUCUGGGCUCAAUGUUUUCCCCACACAAAACACAGAAACUCAUCAAAUGAUACAAUAUUGUUUAAAACAUUGAAGCAGUGCAUGAUCAAUGCCACCCCAGCAAGGGAAUCUGCUGGAAGUGAUGUACUCUCUCUCUCUCUCUCUCUCUCUUAAUCUGGGGGUACAGGCAGGGACGACUGGGGACUUCAGCAAGUAAUACACAGGGGGUAAGAAAACAUUUGAACAUCACAGAUAUAAAUUCCCACUGUGCCCAUGAUUAAGUUAACUACAUUACUUUAGUUGGCUGCUUUGAGCAAAACGUGUAUGUAAUAUAACCUAUUCUGGGAGCCGUGUGUGUGUGUGUGUGUGUGUGUGUGUGUGUGUGUGUGUGUGUGUGUGUGUGUGUGUGUGUGUGUGAACUACAGUGUGUGGAAUAUUUUUCGACCAUUGGCUUUCCUGAAAACAGGAGGAGCAACAUGAGUCUGUCAGAGGCGAUAGAGGCUUUGUUGGUCCACACAACGUAGAAGCAGGUCUCCCUUCCAGUGAUGUGGAGCUCACCUUGGACUUGGUGCCAGUAAGGAUGGCCUUCACGGAGUCAGUAUGUUUGUCAUGUUUGUGUAUGGUUCUCAUGACUUACGAUUGGGUGUUAAGGGACCACUUGUCACAUUGUCCAAGGUGGGUUUGUGUUAUGAUAAACAAUGCGUUUUCUGUCAAGAGAAAUAUGUUUUUAAAGCAUUGAAAAUGACCUACCAAAUGUCUCUUUGUGCAUCCUGGUGGAUGGACAUCCUGUGUCAGUGUGACCCGGUUGUGGAGACUACAGCAGAUCGAGCCUGUGGACGGACAGGCAGAGCAGGCAACAGAUGGCACACAGACAGCAGAGUUGGGGACAGAUAUGCAGGGACAGACUGGCAGAGACAGGGAGUCUCAGGACAAUGACCCAACACAUCUCCAUGCUGUGUAAGUGCUAUUUGACCAAGAAGGAGAGUGAUGGAUGCUGCAUCACAUGACCUGGCCUCCACAAUCACCCAACCUCAACCCAAUUGAGAUGGUUUGGGAUGGACAGCAGAGUGAAGGAAAAGCAGCCAACAAGUGCUCAGCAUAUGUGGGAACUCCUUCAAGACUGUUGGAAAAUAAUUCCUCAUAAAACUGGUUGAGAGAAUGUCAAGAUUGUGCAAACCUGUCAUCAAGGCAAAGGAUGGCUACUUUGAAGAAUCUAAAAUAUAUUUUGAUUUAACACUUUUUUGGUUACUAGAUGAUUCCAUAUGUGUUAUUUCAUAGUGUUGAUGUUUUCACUGUUUUUCUACAAUGUAGAAAAUAGUAAAAAUAAAGAAAAACCCUUGAAUGAGUAGGUGUGUCCACACUUUUGACUGGUACAGUACGUACGGUCACUGCUGGUACGACGUCGUCGAUGCACUUAUUAAUGAGUCUAUUGACUGAUGUGGUAAACUCCUCAAUGUUAUUGGACAGAUUUCAAUCUGUGAUAGCGAAACCGUCCUGAAUCUUAGCACCGUGAAUCUUCGUCACACCGUAUUUCGGACUGAUACUUUCUGUUUGAGUUUUUGCUUGUAAGUAGGAAGCAGGAGGAUAGAGUUAUGAACUUAUUUGCCAAAGGAAUGGAGAAGCAGUACCGUAUAACUACUUGGCUCCGACCCACUCAGAGCAACAACAAAAAACAAAUAUUGAUGAACAACGUAAUAGAACAGCCCAGCCCAAAUCAUAAUUGACUGAACUAUUAUUAUGAAUAGGCCUAAGAGUAAUUAUGUCCAAUGAAGCGUACCACUUCAUAGCAUGAAUGUCAAUGAAUGUCAUUUGAUGUUUAAUGUAGCCCGCCGGCCACCACUAUAAUCACAACCACUAGCAGUAGACUACAUCAUGAUGAUGUCAAAUCAAAUCAAGUAUUAUUUGUCACAUGCGCCGAAAUACAGUGAAAUACUUACUAGCCCUUAACCAAAAAUGCUUUCAGAAGUUAAGAAAAGUAAGUGUUAAGUAACAAAUAGAUAUGUAAAAUAAAAAAAUGAAUAAAUAAAUGAAUAAAUAAAUAAUUAAUCAGCAGCAGUAAAUUAACAACCGAGGCUACAUACAGGGGGUACCAGUACAGAGUCAAUGUGGAGGCUAUAUACAGGGGGUACCGGUACAGAGUCAAUGUGGAGACUAUAUACAGGGGGUACCGGUGCAGAGUCAGUGUGGAGACUAUAUACAGGGGGUACCGGUACAGAGUCAAUGUGGAGGCUAUAUACAGGGGGUAUCGGUACAGAGUCAAUGUGGAGUCUAUAUACAGGGGGUACCGGUACAGAGUCAAUGUGGAGGCUAUAUACAGGGGGGUACCGGUACAGAGUCAAUGUGGAGUCUAUAUACAGGGGGUACCGGUACAGAGUCAGUGUGGAGACUAUAUACAGGGGGUACCGGUACAGAGUCAAUGUGGAGGCUAUAUACAGGGGGUACCGGUACAGAGUCAAUGUGGAGUCUAUAUACAGGGGGUACCGGUACAGAGUCAAUGUGGAGACUAUAUACAGGGGGUACCGGUACAGAGUCAAUGUGGAGGCUAUAUACAGGGGGUACCGGUACAGAGUCAAUGUGGAGGCUAUAUACAGGGGGGGUACCGGUACAGAGUCAAUGUGGAGUUUAUAUACAGGGGGUACCGGUACAGAGUCAAUGUGGAGGCUAUAUACAGGGGAUACCGGUACAGAGUCAAUGUGGAGGCUAUAUACAGGGGGUACUGGUACAGAGUCAAUGUGGAGGCUAUAUACAGGGUGUACCGGUACAGAGUCAAUGUGGAGGCUAUAUACAAGGGGUACCAGUACAGAGUCAAUGUGGAGGCUAUAUACAGGGGGUACCGGUACAGAGUCAAUGUGGAGGCUAUAUACAGUGUGUUACGGUACAGAGUCAAUGUGGAGGCUAUAUACAGGGGUUACCGGUACAGAGUCAAUGUGGAGGCUAUAUACAGGGGGUACUGGUACAGAGUCAAUGUGGAGGCUAUAUACAGGGGGUACCGGUACAGAGUCAAUGUGGAGGCUAUAUACAGGGGAUACCGGUACAGAGUCAAUGUGUGGGGGCACCGGUUAGUCGAGGUAAUAUGUACAUGUAGGUAGAGUUAUUAAAGUGACUAUGCAUAGAAAAUAUUUGUGAUGAUGACUUUGGCGAUUAUGAUGGGGAUAAUGAGGAUGUUGCUGUUGGCAAUUCCACUGCUUGGCUACUACUGCUCACUGUUGUCCUCACCAACAGUACUACUACUAAGCCACUUAACAGUUUUUUUUACAAUUGCUAACAAGCAUUUACCUAUACUUAAGAUACUUUUUCUAAACUCUUAACACAGCAACACACCUACGUCACACAAUUAGCCUUGCAGGUAUAAAGGUAAGACUCAGAUGCAGACCACGUUGAAUUAACAAUGGUUUAAUAUUCCAACACGGGCAGGCAAUAGACAGGUCAAGGCAGGCAGAGGUCGGUAAUCCAGAGGUGG
This 4263-nucleotide long non-coding RNA is filed under the name Salmo salar (Atlantic salmon). RNAcentral's name for it is "lncRNA (ENSSSAG00000117905.1, ENSSSAG00000121622.1)". The record is from RNAcentral. Lineage: Eukaryota; Metazoa; Chordata; Actinopteri; Salmoniformes; Salmonidae.